CAUUUUGUUCACCAUCGUGAAGCGACUUCGGCAUUUUCUCGUGUCGUGAAGCAGUAAGCAGCCACUGGCAAUAAGCUGAGAACCGCGUGCGCCUCGGCAUGGGAGGAUCUUGCCUCAUCUCAUCAAUGUUGGCACUUCUGCGCUCUUUAAUAAAAAGGAUAUACGCGCCAACGAAGGUCUAACCGCCUGACCGCGUGCAGCAGCUAGGAAUACCUUCAUAACAAGUAGGAAUUUCCACGGCAAAUGGCGCGACUAAUAAUGUAUGAGUUGCGGGUAGUGGUUUUACCGUAGCAGUAUGUAGUAUAUGGCGAAGUCAGUCGAGUCUCGGCGUUGCCUAUAGCUCUUACAGCUUCGAUUACCAACUGCAGGAUUCGUAUCCAUGAACAAGUGGCGGACGCGGCGACGCACUCUGGAGAUACCAAUCACAGUUCCUGCGACAACAUCAACGACAGCAACAUCCAGUCCGGCCGUCGACGACGUAUGGAGUCAUCGUUAUUUCGCAUGCCCUCCUAUGACACCUCGACCGUUGUGUUACGCCUGACAUAAGAGGGCGCAUUAAAUUCUGUGAUCAGCGAGUACGUUAGUGCUGUUACGGCAGAGCCAAAUCUAUCAAUGAAUUACAUAUGAAUGUCAAGCCAGCCCCGCAAGGUAAGACUUACGUACGGCGAAAGGGAAGGGAACUGGCAGUUUUUUACGUGAGCACAUGAGACACAAUGAAAAAGAGAAAGCUUGACGAAAGGUAAUAAAUUGGGUAAGCCGCAGGAUCAAGCCAAGCUUUACAGAUGUACGUAGUAAAAACACGCAGCGCGUAGCGUAAGUAGCAAAGCUUUGCGCUCAAAGAGAUCAGUCAGAGGGCGCUGCUGCAAGUGUUCCUAACGGCGUACGCUACACAACCUGUGCCUUCUAACCCACCAGCGACCCUCCGACCGAUCGCCCGCCCGGCUGGCAUCAAUUUCAUGUCAUCACCGUACGAAGCGGCGAUGGCGACGGCGACGGCGACGGCGGGGUCUUCUCCGCCGUGUUGCCUUCACGCAGACAGAGGCCGGGAAGAUAAGAUCGUGGUGCAAAUGGGGUGGUAAUAACCCGUCAUAGUAUUGAUCGAGUCUUGCGCUGUAUUAUUGCAUCAGCUUGUUUUAACGAUUCUAUCAUAUCGCUUUAGUUUUACAAUUGGGUGGUGGUCAUCUUGCACAGCGGUCCAUUGAUAUUAAGCCAUUACCACCAUGUAGGUUGUAAACAGCGGGAAGUUUCAACGACAAACUCGUGGAGCAAACAAAUUGUCGACUUGUUUACUCUGGAUAGAACGUGCUCGACUCCACGGCAGAAAAUCAAGCUAAAAAUAUGGUCUUCCUGCCCGUUUUUGCUCGACUCUGUAAAGCGUUGUUGCUAAGUUCUAGUUUGUUCUAGUGUCCAAUCACUAUCUUACUUCUAUACCUUGGUUUAUUUUUUUAAUCAAGAUAAGCUGGCACGAGGCCAUUCACUUACGUAUGUUUGAGAGUAAUUGAAUUUACAAAUUUUCAUAUCAAUGACGCUUUAGAGAAACUGAACCCCAUUUUGCCAGGAAACGCAACGAUCACUGUACAUUUUCCAGGCGUUUUUUGAGAACACUUUCAAUAUGUUGCACAGUAGGACGAUCUUUGUUUGUUUGUUUGUUUGUUUUUAAACUUACCUAUGUGUAAACGAAGUGGAGUUUUUUUUUCAAGGGGUAUUCACCAGACUGUGAAGCUAAAAUAAUAUUUCUUACAGUAUAUGCAAUCUAGAUUGGUUUUAUUGCUAUUUGAUUUGAUACUAUUUUUAGUAGCGGGGCAACCGUGUUCUUCCUAACAGAAUUCCAAAUCAGAAAAGUUAUGUUUGAAACUCUGCACGAUUUAAUUCGGCACUGGUUGCCGUUGGGUCAGAAGGCAACAAACUAAGGACUAAUUUAAUUAGCAUGGCAUUAAAAAAAAGCCCCCUUGAUCCAAACAAGUUUCUACCUGUGUAAUAUUUCCAGAAGUCUAU
RNAcentral lists this long non-coding RNA (1995 nucleotides) under Varroa destructor (honeybee mite). Its description in RNAcentral is "uncharacterized LOC111250363". The record is from RNAcentral. Lineage: Eukaryota; Metazoa; Arthropoda; Arachnida; Mesostigmata; Varroidae.